CCUACGGGAGGCAGCAGUGGGGAAUAUUGGGCAAUGGGCGAAAGCCUGACCCAGCGACGCCGCGUGGGGGAUGAAGGCCUUCGGGUCGUAAACCCCUGUCAGGAGGGACGAAGCCCUGAUCAUAUAUCAGGGUGACGGUACCUCCAGAGGAAGCCCCGGCUAACUACGUGCCAGCAGCCGCGGUAAAACGUAGGGGGCAAGCGUUGUCCGGAUUCACUGGGCGUAAAGGGUCCGUAGGCGGCCUGCUAAGUCGGAGGUGAAAGACCCUGGCUUAACUGGGGAAUUGCGUCCGAAACUGGUGGGCUAGAGCCCAGGAGAGGAAAGUGGAAUUCCCGGUGUAGCGGUGAAAUGCGCAGAUAUCGGGAGGAACACCAGUGGGGAAGCCGGCUUUCUGGCCUGUGGCUGACGUUGAGGGACGAAAGCCAGGGGAGCGAACCGGAUUAGAUCCCCCUGUAGU
This 457-nucleotide ribosomal RNA is filed under the name uncultured bacterium. Its description in RNAcentral is "partial 16S ribosomal RNA". It matches the Rfam family "Bacterial small subunit ribosomal RNA", at positions 338 to 794 of the family's 1533-position model. The record is from RNAcentral.